This 395-nucleotide long non-coding RNA is filed under the name Elaeis guineensis (African oil palm). RNAcentral's name for it is "long non-coding RNA (EGUI_LNC062118)". Lineage: Eukaryota; Viridiplantae; Streptophyta; Magnoliopsida; Arecales; Arecaceae. The record is from RNAcentral.
CUCGUGGCCAGCAAAUUUAUGAUCAAAUUCAUGAUUUGCAAAUGCAGGAGGCACAGCAUGGAGGGUUGCCUGUCCAUUUGCAUAAUUUUAUGUUGUCUCUAUUGCAGCAGUAUCAUCAAGUUUUGUAUUAUUGCCAAGAGAUGCUCUGGCAUCAAAGACACGGACCAUUUGGCUAUAGGAGGGUGAUGCGAACACUAAGUUCUUUCAUCAAUUUGUGGUCUUGCAUCAUGAAAGAAUAAAAUUCAUAGUUUACUUACACUCAAGAGGACUGUGUUACUGAUUAUGUUCCUAUGCAUGCUUUGUUGGUAGAGCACUUUCGACAACGUUGAGAGAUAGAUGCAAAUCUUGGGUACCUUGAUCAUCCCCCAGUUACCUCUGUUAUUACGUCUAUGCAG